This 768-nucleotide unclassified non-coding RNA is filed under the name Hevea brasiliensis (rubber tree). The record is from RNAcentral. Lineage: Eukaryota; Viridiplantae; Streptophyta; Magnoliopsida; Malpighiales; Euphorbiaceae.
CUGAUUUACUCUUAUUGCUGUAACUGUGAUAUCCUGAAAGCAACUUUCACUGCUUUUUUGUCGGUCAGUCCCUAUUAAGGAAUGUUCCAUUAGAUUUUGUUGGUCAGGUUCUAUACUUGUUUAGUAUAAAGAAAUGUGGGUAAGCUCUGCUUGUGGGAGUUAUUUGUGUUGUAAAAGCUCCUGCCUUUCUGCCUCAAGCUUUUUAAGAUUGUCAAAAAUUAAUUGAACUUUUGUUGACAAGUGAACAUUGUGGUCUUCAACAUCUUUCAUAAAUGUAAGCAACUGUUCUCGAUAUGCUGUACUUAACCGUUUCUUAAUGUGCAGUUCUGUAGUUAAUUCCUGAAUCUUCUUAUCCUUCUCAUCAAGCUUCUGACGACUUUUUGGCAAUUGAUCUACCAAUGGGUGAUUAUGGGCCCCCAAAAAUUUUCUAACAAUCCAUCUCCCAGGCUUCUCUCUUUUCAACAAAAUCAUAGCCUUGCAACCUUCUUGUUGCUUAGCCUUGCAACCUUCUUGUUGCUUAUCUUGCAUAUGGCUUUUACCUCUUCUCCUACCAUCUGAACCUCCUCUACAACCUAUUCCCCGAGAGAUGAGUGAUCCAUCACGUUCUGACUUUCGGGAAGACAAAACACGCGUUGAAAACCCCACUUGUCUGGCAUAAUCAUCAUAAAAUGCUUUAGCUGUUUCUUCUGACUCAAAUAGCAUACCCUCAUAUGGUUCUUGAUUCAUGUCAAUUUCAUGUAGACUCGGCUCCCCUCCCCUAGAAAUUUC